CACAAACUCUUUUCUAAACUGUGUUAGCUGUCAACCGAUUAUUCUACCCCCUAUUUAUGGACUGUCUUCACUAUCGCUCAAUCCGAACAUAAACAAAGGGCCCAAACUAAUCGAACAUACCCCAAACUAAUCGAACAUACCUUUUGUAACUAGUUUGAGGUAGAUGGAAAACACAAAUUCUAUGUCGCUUUUGUUGGUCGUAUCCCAGGGAUCUAUUUAUUCUGACACAAAUGUCAUGGACAAGUCGGUGGAUACAAAGGGG
Non-coding RNA from Benincasa hispida (wax gourd), 262 nucleotides. NCBI's taxonomy places the organism in Eukaryota, Viridiplantae, Streptophyta, Magnoliopsida, Cucurbitales, Cucurbitaceae. The record is from RefSeq and is a predicted model, not a curated record.